GAUGAAGAACGUAGUGAAAUGCGAUAAGUAAUGUGAAUUGCAGAAUUCAAUGAAUCAUCGAAUCUUUGAACGCACAUUGCGCCCGCCAGUAUUCUGGCGGGCAUGCCUGUCCGAGCGUCAUUUCAACCCUCGAACCCCUCCGGGGGGUCGGCGUUGGGGAUCGGCCCUGCCUCUUGGCGGUGGCCGUCUCCGAAAUACAGUGGCGGUCUCGCCGCAGCCUCUCCUGCGCAGUAGUUUGCACACUCGCAUCGGGAGCGCGGCGCGUCCACAGCCGUUAAACACCCAACUUCUGAAAUGUUGACCUCGGAUCAGGUAGGAAUACCCGCUGAACUUAAGCAUAUCAAUAAGCGGAGGA
Molecule: unclassified non-coding RNA, 355 nt
Filed under: soil metagenome
Description: partial contains 5.8S ribosomal RNA, internal transcribed spacer 2, and large subunit ribosomal RNA
Rfam family: 5.8S ribosomal RNA (bases 1-120)
Source: RNAcentral